This 939-nucleotide unclassified non-coding RNA is filed under the name Hevea brasiliensis (rubber tree). Lineage: Eukaryota; Viridiplantae; Streptophyta; Magnoliopsida; Malpighiales; Euphorbiaceae. The record is from RNAcentral.
CUCUUGGAGCUGCUGCAGAUCUGCGUGUGGGAAUCAACUAUAUCCCAAAUGAGUUUUUUUGGACCCAAGGUAUUGUGUUUUCCAUCACAAGUUAACUUAUUGAAAGUCUGAGAAUGUAAGAGUGAUAUCCAAUUUUUUAGCUGCACCACGACAUCAGUUAUUCGCUUCCUUAAUAAUGAUCGUUUCAGCUUAAUAAGAUCAAAUUGCUGUUUUCCAUUUUCAAUGGUGUGCAUAGUCUAAUCAAUCAUAGGUUAUUGUCACCUUAUGCAAACACUAUCUAUUAUGUUCUUACCUUCAAUCAUCUUCAUUUUGCUUUCCCUUUACAUGAUAUGGAUCGUACUUCAUGGCCAGAUGGAUGGAGAAGAAUCCAAGUUCUAAAUGGCUGAGUGUAGUUGGCUAGGUUUUUGGUUUCUUGGCUUAUCUUUUGCGAAGGAUGUAAUUUAAGAAAAAUAAGUUUACCCAGUGUGAAUGAGAUAUCCAAACAUGCUUUUUAUAUUACUUAGUAAACAGAGAUGUAGUUUUGCUGGUUGUCAUUGGUACAACUAGCAAAACUAGAAAAAUGAUGUUGGAGGUCUAUGGUUACUUGAGAGCAUGAAAUAAUGGAUCAGGUUAACUUUCUACUAGAUUCCCAGGACCAGCUUUUGGCAAUGGAAGUGUAAGACUCCUGUGUGGAAAUUGCUUAUUGGUUUUCUGUCCCCACCAAUUCGAAUUAAAGCCUACUAGCUGGAUCUUUACAUGUUGAAAAAUUGUCUCUUAAUUUUACUUAAUUGUUUGAUAUCGAACCCAAAGGUUGAGUCACAGCAUCUAAGCAUCUAAUAUGAAUUUUUCAUGUGCUGUGAUUUUUUCCUUAAUAUAUCUAAAAAUUUUUCUUCCUAGUCAUAUUUCAUUCACAACCUUUUUGGUCCAUUCCCUUUCAGGUAUGCUGCACCAGAGCAAUAC